AUGGAUAGCUCAGUUUUCUUCUACAUACUUUGUAGUUUCAAUGAUGACACAUAUAUGACAACUAUGGGUGUUGGCUCCAACAAUUCUCAUUGGUCUCAAACCAAUGAAGUGCAUGAAGACGAUCAUGAGUUUGAGGUGGACGAGGAUGGUGAGGGUAUAGCCGAUGCACCGAAAGGAGGAGCGGGCAACUACGCUAUGGAGGGAGACAUCUUGCUAUGCAAUACAUGGUUGCAUGUGUCUAUGGAUGCAAAUGCUGGAGGGUACCAAAGUAGAGAUGCAUAUUGGGACCGGAUGAAGGAGCACUUUGAUUUACACAACAAGAAAGUGGCACUAAGGAUCGAGAUAGGGUAA
This 351-nucleotide ribosomal RNA is filed under the name Triticum aestivum (bread wheat). RNAcentral's name for it is "partial small subunit ribosomal RNA". Lineage: Eukaryota; Viridiplantae; Streptophyta; Magnoliopsida; Poales; Poaceae. The record is from RNAcentral.